RNAcentral lists this unclassified non-coding RNA (261 nucleotides) under Hevea brasiliensis (rubber tree). The record is from RNAcentral. Lineage: Eukaryota; Viridiplantae; Streptophyta; Magnoliopsida; Malpighiales; Euphorbiaceae.
ACACUUUUUUUUAAAAAAAAAAAAAAAAAGUAAUAUAAUGAAAGAAAACGUAUAAAACUAUCCACGUCCAUUUUUGUACAAAUACUGGAGACUCUGACCAGGGAACUUUUUCCACAAACAACCAGAAUGUUCUUAGACUGCACGAGCCCCCUCAGCACACUCCUUCCGUCAGUGAAAUUGAAAUAUGAUUAGUCAUUAUACUCCAAGAUCGAGGAACUUUCAUACAAUGGAAUCCCUCAAAGAUCAAAUUUUGGAAAUUUC